Molecule: non-coding RNA, 1712 nt
Organism: Elaeis guineensis (African oil palm)
Lineage: Eukaryota; Viridiplantae; Streptophyta; Magnoliopsida; Arecales; Arecaceae
Source: RefSeq, a predicted model, not a curated record
CGCAACGUGGGUGCUCGGGCGGGUCCAACAAUUCGGUCUCUUGAGAUUAUUUAAUUUAUUGGCGAUGGUCGGUAGGAAGAGGGCCUUCUAUUCAAGCUUGUAACGCGUCGGCAAGCGGGGGAUGAGCCGAGCGGCAGCGGAGAGAAUGGCCAAGGAUAUCGGAAGGGCGAGCAUGGAGUCGCCAGCGGCAUCUUUGUCGGCGACAACAGCGACGUCGAGGUGGGCGUGGCCGUCGGUGCUCCGAUGGAUCCCCACGUCCACCGACCGCAUCAUCGCCGCCGAGAAGCGCCUCCUUUCCCUCGUCAAAAAUGGAUAUGUCCAAGAGCAAGUAAAUAUUGGUUCUGGGCCACCUGGGUCAAAGGUUAGAUGGUUCAGGUCUUCCAGUGAUAAGCCCAGGUUUAUCAAUACAGUGACAUUUGACAGCCCGGAUAACUCGCCGACACUUGUCAUGGUUCAUGGAUAUGGUGCUUCUCAAGGUUUCUUCUUUCGGAACUUUGAUGCCCUUGCUAGUCGUUUUCGAGUUAUUGCCAUUGAUCAACUCGGCUGGGGUGGGUCAAGUCGACCAGACUUUACAUGUAAAAGCACAGAAGAAACUGAGGCAUGGUUCAUUGAUUCUUUCGAAGAAUGGCGCAAGGCCAAAAAUCUCACUAAUUUUAUUUUGCUCGGGCAUUCAUUUGGAGGAUAUGUUGCAGCAAAGUAUGCUCUGAAGCAUCCUGAGCACAUCCAACACCUGAUUUUGGUUGGUCCUGCUGGCUUUACAUCGGAGUCAGAACAUAAGUCAGAGUGGUUGACAAAAUUUAGAGCAACUUGGAAGGGAACGAUAGCAAAUCAUCUAUGGGAAUCCAACUUUACUCCUCAAAAAAUAAUUCGAGGUCUAGGACCUUGGGGCCCCGACCUUGUCCGCAGAUAUACGAGUGCUAGAUUUGGUUCUUAUUCAUCUGGUGACAUAUUGAAUGAAGAGGAGUCCAGAUUGCUAACAGAUUAUGUAUACCAUACUUUAGCUGCCAAGGCUAGUGGAGAACUGUGCUUGAAGUAUAUCUUUUCUUUUGGGGCAUUUGCACGGAAGCCUCUUCUACAAAGCAGGAAAAUAUAUCAUCACAAACUUGCAUUGGCAUCACAUGAUGUCUUUGUUGCCUGCAUGCAGCGCCUCAGAGUGGAAGGUGUCAACUACCUUCAUUUAUGGUUACGAUGAUUGGAUGAACUAUCAAGGGGCACAAGAAGCUCGCAAGCACAUGAAAGUUCCUUGUGAAAUCAUAAGAGUUCCCCGGGGAGGGCACUUUGUUUUCAUUGAUAACCCAUCAGGAUUCCACUCAGCAGUCUUCCAUGGAUGCAGGAGAUUUCUAUCCCCAGAUCAUGUUGAUGACCAAACUCUACCUGAUGGCGUUACUGUUGUGUAGGUUGUCAUCUUGGCCAUUUUUCUAUUUAUGUAUCCUAUAUAACACCAUUAUAAUACAGUAUCAAAUGUAUUAUUACCAUUCUUGUAACUCAAUAUGUUAUUGCCAACAUUCUGUAUCCUGUCUCUUGCUGCUUUUGGAAUAAAUAGAUGAACAACUUUAGAUAAUUGUAGGAUGUUGAGACAUGUUAUAUAAUUACUUGGUCGAAUGGCCAUCAUAGUAAAAUGUCAGUUCUUACAUAUAUACCCUUGUAGUUAUCCCUGAAUAUUUACAAUUUGUAUAUUUACUCCAGUUAUGAUAUAUUUCACAGAUUUACGC